This 2197-nucleotide long non-coding RNA is filed under the name Homo sapiens (human). Its description in RNAcentral is "HSALNT0336547". Lineage: Eukaryota; Metazoa; Chordata; Mammalia; Primates; Hominidae. The record is from RNAcentral.
UCGGCCUCCCAAAGUGCUGGGAUUACAGGCGUGAGCCACUGUGCCCGGCCAGAAGUGAUUGCUUUCUAAAGGUAGAUUACUGGCCAGAGUUUUUGAGUUACAAGAGCCACUCCAGAGAUUUCUUUUAGAAAAACAGUCACCACUGGCAACACAUUUCAGUGACACAGAAUGGCUCACAAAACUUGCUUACUUAUGUAACAUAUUCAACCUGCUCAAUGAAGUCAAUCUGUUGUCACUUCAAGGGAGAAUGACAACGGUGUUCAAGUCAACAGAUAAAAGUGGCUGCAUUCAAAGCCAAACUAGUAUUAUGAGGGCAAUGCAUAAACAUUGGGAUUUCUGACAUGUUUCAAACAUUAGCAGAAAUCUUGAAACAGACUGAGCCAGGGCCUUCUUUCUCCCAGCUGGUACAUGGAUCACCUAUCUCAGCUUUUUAAAGAAUCUGAGCAUUAAUUCCCAACCAUAAAAAAACCCGAACUGGGAAGAAAUGGAUAGCGACCCACUUGUAAAUUGCCAGGUGAAUCAACUUUGUCCACACUAGAAGAGAAUCAACUGCUUGAGACUGCAAAUGACAGUGGUCUUAAAAGUAUGUUUGAGACAACUUCAAGUCUCCAUACAUUUUGGAUUAGAGUCAAGGCAGAAUAUCCUGAGAUUGCCACAAAAGCACUGAAAAGCCUGCUUCCAUUUCCAACAUCAUAUCUUUGUGAAGCAGGGUUUUCUGCAAUGAUAGCGACCAAAAUGAGAUUACAGAGUAGACUGGACAUAAUCAACAAACUUUGGGUGUCACUGACUCCCAACACUCCCAGAUGAGACCGUCUAGUUGUGGAAAACAAGCUCCGGGCUCCCACUGAUUCUACAUUAUGGUCUGUGGAGAAAUUGUCUUCCUCAAAACCAGACCCUGGUGCCAAAAAGGUUAGGGACUUCUGCUAUACACUCUGAAGUUAUCCUUCAAGAGCGAAAGAGAAAGACUUCCACAGACAAAAAUUGAAGGAUUUUUGUGGCCAGUAUAUCUGCUUUGCAAGAAAUGUUAAAAGCCUUCAGAGAGAAGGGAAAUGACACAGGUCAGAAACUCACAUCUAGACAAAGAAAGCAAGAGCAUCGGAAAAGGAAUAAGUGAAGGUGGAGUAGGAGGGAGCAUAACCUGGCGUGAACUGAAAGUCUAUAAAGAAGGAAGUGCACUUCUCAAGGAAGAGCACCCAAAGGGCAGAAGAAGUAUUGAAGGGAAAUAAAGGCCUCAUCUGCUAGAAGAGAAUCCUUAAGUCCCAAAGAUGCACUAUAGAUGACAGAAUGCACUGUCGUGGCUGUAAGUUCCUAUCUCAUCAUCACUUUGGUGCAACUCCACAUCUGCAACUAGCCAUGAGAUAAGAGAAAAGGCCAGAUGACAUAUAUACCCUACACCAAGAAUGCAUGGAUGAAGAAUGAAGUUGAUAACAACCUACAAGCUGGUUCUUAGGCGCUGUCAGAACUCUAGGAGAACAAAGAAGCCUUCUAUUAAGGCAGAAGACAAUCCUGCUUCCUAAUAUAGAAAAGAGGAAAGGAUUUUAUAUUCAAAUAACUUCUCCCCUAUAUCCCUUUAGUAACACAUUUUUUCCCAAGUAGUUAGAAAACAAGAAUUUUUAUUCAGUAAAGUCAUAACUGGCUUUGAGAAGCAUACCAUUGCAUGGCAGUUAUAUAUUACUAGUAAAAUAUACAUCUUGACAAUAUCCCAGAAAACCGAGGUACUUGUUUUGAUAGAAAAACAUGUAUCAAAAUUCACAUAUUGAUAAAUCAUAAAAUUACUGUUGCUAUGCUGUUCUACUUAGAAUUUCAAAGUAAUCUAUCAUGUUUCUACAUCACUGUAACCAAUAUAAGUAAUCUAGAACAUGUUAAUUUAAGCAUAUAAUUUAUAACUUAUUAAUGACAAAACUUUGACAUGAACAUGCAAUGUAAAAGGUAGUUAUAAACCUUGUAACUAUGUGAGUUAAUUUGAAGAAACAAAGUAUGCCAUCAAAGUAACAUUUCAAAAUGUGUAAAGGUGAAACAGAGACAUUUUUACAGGUAAACAUUUUAUAUAUAUAUUUAGUAGCUGCCAAACUCAGGGAGCACUGGGAAGGCCUCAUUUAGAUGUUUUACCUAAAAAUGCAUAUGACACACUGUUCUCUACCCUAAUGUAGGCAUGUAGACCCUAACCAUAUAGAUUUAUAGACCCAGAAAAUAUACA